CAGCAGUAUUACUCCAUACUCUGUGUUCC
This 29-nucleotide non-coding RNA is filed under the name Mus musculus (house mouse). Lineage: Eukaryota; Metazoa; Chordata; Mammalia; Rodentia; Muridae. The record is from RNAcentral.